Molecule: ribosomal RNA, 471 nt
Filed under: uncultured bacterium
Lineage: Bacteria
Description: bacterial SSU rRNA
Rfam family: Bacterial small subunit ribosomal RNA
Source: RNAcentral
AGCGAACGCUGGCGGCAUGCUUAACACAUGCAAGUCGCACGGUAUGGGGGAGACCCUGUGCAGUGGCGGACGGGUGAGGAGCGCGUAGGAAUCUGUCCCUGGAUGGGGGAUAACCACGGGAAACUGUGGCUAAUACCGCAUGAGGCCUGAGGGCCAAAGGCUGCGAGGCCGUCUGGGGGUGAGCCUGCGUCCGAUUAGCUAGUUGGUGGGGUAAAGGCCUACCAAGGCUGCGAUCGGUAGCUGGUCUGAGAGGAUGAUCAGCCACACUGGGAUUGAGAUACGGCCCAGACUCCUACGGGAGGCAGCAGUCGAGAAUAGUCUACAAUGGUCGGAAGACUGGUAGUGCGACGCCGCGUGAACGAUGAAUCCCUUCGGGUGUAAAGUUCUUUUAUAUGUGAGCAGUGCUUCUUAUAUUAACAGUAUGGGGAGAGAGAUAUUAGCAUAUGAAUAAGCAACGGCUAACUCCGUGCC